Molecule: ribosomal RNA, 484 nt
Filed under: uncultured bacterium
Lineage: Bacteria
Description: partial 16S ribosomal RNA
Rfam family: Bacterial small subunit ribosomal RNA
Source: RNAcentral
AUUGAACGCUGGCGGCAUGCUUUACACAUGCAAGUCGAACGGCAGCGCGGGCUUCGGCCUGGCGACGAGUGGCGAACGGGUGAGUAAUACAUCGGAACGUGCCCAGUAGUGGGGGAUAGCUCGGCGAAAGCCGGAUUAAUACCGCAUACGAUCUGAGGGUGAAAGCGGGGGAUCUUCGGACCUCGCGCUAUUGGAGCGGCCGAUGGCAGAUUAGCUAGUUGGUGGGGUAAAGGCCUACCAAGGCGACGAUCUGUAGCUGGUCUGAGAGGACGACCAGCGACACUGGGACUGAGACGCGGCCCUGACUCCUACGGGAGGCAGCGGUGGGGAAUUUUGGCCACUGGGCGAAAGCCUGAUCCAGCAAUGCCGCGUGGGUGAUGAAGGCCUUCGGGUUGUAAAGCACUUUUGGCGGGAACGAAAAGGACUGUGCCAAUACCACGGUUCGAUGACGGUACCCGCAGAAUAAGCACCGGCUAACUACGUG